RNAcentral lists this ribosomal RNA (492 nucleotides) under uncultured bacterium. RNAcentral describes it as "partial 16S ribosomal RNA". It matches the Rfam family "Bacterial small subunit ribosomal RNA", at positions 29 to 507 of the family's 1533-position model. The record is from RNAcentral.
AGUGAACGCUGGCGGUAGGCCUAACACAUGCAAGUCGAACGGCAGCACAGUAAGAGCUUGCUCUUACGGGUGGCGAGUGGCGGACGGGUGAGGAAUACAUCGGAAUCUACUUUUUCGUGGGGGAUAACGUAGGGAAACUUACGCUAAUACCGCAUACGACCUACGGGUGAAGGCAGGGGAUCUUCGGACCUUGCGCGAUUGAAUGAGCCGAUGUCGGAUUAGCUAGUUGGCGGGGUAAAGGCCCACCAAGGCGACGAUCCGUAGCUGGUCUGAGAGGAUGAUCAGCCACACUGGAACUGAGACACGGUCCAGACUCCUACGGGAGGCAGCAGUGGGGAAUAUUGGACAAUGGGCGCAAGCCCGAUCCAGCCAUACCGCGUGGGUGAACAAGGCCUUCGGGUUGUAAAGCCCUUUUGUUGGGAAAGAAAAGCAGCAGGUUAAUACCCCGCUGUUCUGACGGUACCCAAAGAAUAAGCACCGGCUAACUUCGUG